CCUACGGGGGGCAGCAGUAGGGAAUAUUGCACAAUGGGCGAAAGCCUGAUGCAGCAACGCCGCGUGUGCGAUGAAGGCCUUCGGGUCGUAAAGCACUUUUCUGGGAGAUGAGAAAGGACAGUAUCUCAGGAAUAAGUCUCGGCUAACUACGUGCCAGCAGCCGCGGUAAAACGUAGGAGGCAAGCGUUAUCCGGAUUCACUGGGUGUAAAGCGCGUGCAGGCGGUUCGGUAAGUUGGGCGUGAAAUCUCCUGGCUCAACUAGGAGAGGGCGUUCAAUACUACCGGACUUGAGAGUGGUAGAGGAAGAUGGAAUUCCCGGUGUAGUGGUGAAAUGCGUAGAUAUCGGGAGGAACACCAGUGGCGAAGGCGAUCUUCUGGACCAUUUCUGACGCUCAGACGCGACAGCUAGGGUAGCAAACGGGAUUAGAUACCCCGGUAGUC
This 441-nucleotide ribosomal RNA is filed under the name uncultured bacterium. RNAcentral's name for it is "partial 16S ribosomal RNA". It matches the Rfam family "Bacterial small subunit ribosomal RNA", at positions 338 to 795 of the family's 1533-position model. The record is from RNAcentral.